GACGAACGCUGGCGGCGUGCUUAACACAUGCAAGUCGAACGGAAAGGCCCUGCUUUUGUGGGGUGCUCGAGUGGCGAACGGGUGAGUAACACGUGAGUAACCUGCCCUUGACUUUGGGAUAACUUCAGGAAACUGGGGCUAAUACCCGAUAUGAGCUCCUGCUGCAUGGUGGGGGUUGGAAAGUUUCGGCGGUUGGGGAUGGACUCGCGGCUUAUCAGCUUGUUGGUGGGGUAGUGGCUUACCAAGGCUUUGACGGGUAGCCGGCCUGAGAGGGUGACCGGGCCCCAGGGGACUGAGGGAGGGACCAGGAUGCUAAGGGGGGCAGCAGGGGGGAAUAUUGCACAGUGGGGGGAAGGCUGAUGCAGAAACGCCGGGGGGGGGAAGAGGGCCUUUGGGUUGUGAAACGCUUUUGGCUGUGACGAAGGGUGAGUGACGGUAAUGGGUAAAGAAGCACCGGCUAACUACGUG
Molecule: ribosomal RNA, 468 nt
Filed under: uncultured bacterium
Lineage: Bacteria
Description: partial 16S ribosomal RNA
Rfam family: Bacterial small subunit ribosomal RNA
Source: RNAcentral